UGCAAGUCGAGCGGUAGCACAGAGAGCUUGCUCUCGGGUGACGAGCGGCGGACGGGUGAGUAAUGUCUGGGAAACUGCCUGAUGGAGGGGGAUAACUACUGGAAACGGUAGCUAAUACCGCAUAACGUCGCAAGACCAAAGUGGGGGACCUUCGGGCCUCAUGCCAUCAGAUGUGCCCAGAUGGGAUUAGCUAGUAGGUGGGGUAACGGCUCACCUAGGCGACGAUCCCUAGCUGGUCUGAGAGGAUGACCAGCCACACUGGAACUGAGACACGGUCCAGACUCCUACGGGAGGCAGCAGUGGGGAAUAUUGCACAAUGGGCGCAAGCCUGAUGCAGCCAUGCCGCGUGUGUGAAGAAGGCCUUCGGGUUGUAAAGCACUUUCAGCGGGGAGGAAGGCGGUGAGGUUAAUAACCUUGGCGAUUGACGUUACCCGCAGAAGAAGCACCGGCUAACUCCGUGCCAGCAGCCGCGGUAAUACGGAGGGUGCAAGCGUUAAUCGGAAUUACUGGGCGUAAAGCGCACGCAGGCGGUCUGUCAAGUCGGAUGUGAAAUCCCCGGGCUCAACCUGGGAACUGCAUUCGAAACUGGCAGGCUAGAGUCUUGUAGAGUAGAAUUCCAGGUGUAGCGGUGAAAUGCGUAGAGAUCUGGAGGAAUACCGGUGGCGAAGGCGGCCCCCUGGACAAAGACUGACGCUCAGGUGCGAAAGCGUGGGGAGCAAACAGGAUUAGAUACCCUGGUAGUCCACGCCGUAAACGAUGUCGAUUUGGAGGUUGUGCCCUUGAGGCGUGGCUUCCGGAGCUAACGCGUUAAAUCGACCGCCUGGGGAGUACGGCCGCAAGGUUAAAACUCAAAUGAAUUGACGGGGGCCCGCACAAGCGGUGGAGCAUGUGGUUUAAUUCGAUGCAACGCGAAGAACCUUACCUGGUCUUGACAUCCACAGAACUUUCCAGAGAUGGAUUGGUGCCUUCGGGAACUGUGAGACAGGUGCUGCAUGGCUGUCGUCAGCUCGUGUUGUGAAAUGUUGGGUUAAGUCCCGCAACGAGCGCAACCCUUAUCCUUUGUUGCCAGCGGUUAGGCCGGGAACUCAAAGGAGACUGCCAGUGAUAAACUGGAGGAAGGUGGGGAUGACGUCAAGUCAUCAUGGCCCUUACGACCAGGGCUACACACGUGCUACAAUGGCAUAUACAAAGAGAAGCGACCUCGCGAGAGCAAGCGGACCUCAUAAAGUAUGUCGUAGUCCGGAUUGGAGUCUGCAACUCGACUCCAUGAAGUCGGAAUCGCUAGUAAUCGUAGAUCAGAAUGCUACGGUGAAUACGUUCCCGGGCCUUGUACACACCGCCCGUCACACCAUGGGAGUGGGUUGCAAAAGAAGUAGGUAGCUUAACCUUCGGGAGGGCGCCUUA
Molecule: ribosomal RNA, 1404 nt
Filed under: Klebsiella pneumoniae
Lineage: Bacteria; Pseudomonadati; Pseudomonadota; Gammaproteobacteria; Enterobacterales; Enterobacteriaceae
Description: bacterial SSU rRNA
Rfam family: Bacterial small subunit ribosomal RNA
Source: RNAcentral